This 213-nucleotide long non-coding RNA is filed under the name Lathyrus oleraceus (garden pea). Its description in RNAcentral is "Pisum sativum (pea) long non-coding RNA (PSAT_LNC002546)". The record is from RNAcentral. Lineage: Eukaryota; Viridiplantae; Streptophyta; Magnoliopsida; Fabales; Fabaceae.
ACCAAUGCAGUAUCUGUAGGGAGGCAGAGGAGGCCUCAUGUCAGAAGAAAUCCGCAACCGCGUCAACAUCAACAUCAAGUUUCAUCAAUAAUUCCAGUGUUUUCAAACAAUUCAAACAAUCAAUCAAUACCAAUUCAACAACAACGUCAACAACAACCGCAACAAAGAACCAACUAUAACAACAACAACAACAAUAAUCAACAACAACAAAAC